Molecule: ribosomal RNA, 206 nt
Filed under: uncultured bacterium
Lineage: Bacteria
Description: partial 16S ribosomal RNA
Rfam family: Bacterial small subunit ribosomal RNA
Source: RNAcentral
UACGUAGGGGUGCGAGCGUUGUCCGGAAUUAUUGGGCGUAAAGAGCUUGUAGGCGGUUUGUCGCGUCUGCUGUGAAAUCUCAAGGCUCAACCUUGAGCUUGCAGUGGGUACGGGCAGACUAGAGGUGUGGUAGGGGAGACUGGAAGUUCCUGGUGUAGCGGUGAAAUGACGCAGAGUAUACGAGGAGGAACACCCGAGUGGCGAAG